GACGAACGCUGGCGGCGUGCUUAACACAUGCAAGUCGAACGGAAAGGCCCUGCUUUUGUGGGGUGCUCGAGUGGCGAACGGGUGAGUAACACGUGAGUAACCUGCCCUUGACUUUGGGAUAACUUCAGGAAACUGGGGCUAAUACCGGAUAGGAGCUCCUGCUGCCUGUUGGGGGUGGGAGAGUUUCGGCGGUUGGGGAUGGACUCGCGGCUUAUCAGCUUGUUGGUGGGGUAGUGGCUUACCAAGGCUUUGACGGGUAGCCGGCCUGAGAGGGUGACCGGCCACAUUGGGACUGAGAUACGGCACAGACUCCUACGGGAGGCAGCAGUGGAGAAUAUUGCACAAUGGGCGGAAGCCUGAUGCAGCGACGCCGCGUGCGGGAUGACGGCCUUCGGGUUGUAAACCGAUGUCGCCUGUGACGAAGCGUGAGUGACGGUAAUGGGUAAAGAAGCACCGGCUAACUACGUG
RNAcentral lists this ribosomal RNA (468 nucleotides) under uncultured bacterium. Its description in RNAcentral is "partial 16S ribosomal RNA". It matches the Rfam family "Bacterial small subunit ribosomal RNA", at positions 28 to 507 of the family's 1533-position model. The record is from RNAcentral.